This 292-nucleotide ribosomal RNA is filed under the name uncultured bacterium. RNAcentral describes it as "partial 16S ribosomal RNA". It matches the Rfam family "Bacterial small subunit ribosomal RNA", at positions 505 to 796 of the family's 1533-position model. The record is from RNAcentral.
GUGUCAGCCGCCGCGGUAAUACGGGGGGGGCAAGCGUUGUUCGGAAUUACUGGGCGUAAAGGGCUCGUAGGUGGUCAACUAAGUCAUACGUGAAAUCCCUCGGCUUAACCGGGGAACUGCGCCUGAUACUGGUUGACUUGAGUUUGGGAGAGGGACGCGGAAUUCCAGGUGUAGCGGUGAAAUGCGUAGAUAUCUGGAGGAACACCGGUGGCGAAGGCGGCGUCCUGGACCAAUACUGACACUGAGGAGCGAAAGCCAGGGGAGCAAACGGGAUUAGAAACCCCUGUAGUCC